UUUUAAAAAGUGGUUUAAAUUGUGUAUUUACUUUUUCAAUAGGAUACAACCAUAAUUAAACCAAGAAGUUUAUGAAGAAGGGAUCACUGGAUGUUGUCACUUUGGUACAAGAAACAGGAAAGGAUAUCAUAGACCACCUUACUUAUACGGAAGCAUAGGAGCUGUUGAAGGAAAUUGCUGCCAGACAGUCAGCAGUUAUCACUGACAGCCUGUCCUGGCCCAGCUUGGACCAUCCUCAAGCUAACCAUGAUGGUGUGUUUGCAAGAAUUGUCCAUUUGGUAGACCAUGAUGAAGACCAGCUUUGUUGUGGCAUGGCCUGACAAUACUGUACAAGCCAGAGACCAAAAAAGGGUUAAGUGGUGACUGAUCCUCUCACCCUCCUUAUCCAGGAAACGUUUCGGAACGUGUUGGCACUGAAGAUGUGGAGGACACAGAUUGAUCUCAGUACAUCCUUUGGAUACAUGGACACCUUCAACGGGACGACAACAAAACUGUACCUGCCUUUUUUUGAAAGGAAGUAGUUAAUAAAAUUAUUGUUAACAGCUUUUUUAGUCUUGUUGUUUAAGAAUGCUUGCAACAUUAAAGUGGAUAAACGGUUGUUU
Molecule: long non-coding RNA, 602 nt
Organism: Dreissena polymorpha
Lineage: Eukaryota; Metazoa; Mollusca; Bivalvia; Myida; Dreissenidae
Exons: 3
Source: RefSeq, a predicted model, not a curated record